Molecule: ribosomal RNA, 309 nt
Filed under: uncultured bacterium
Lineage: Bacteria
Description: bacterial SSU rRNA
Rfam family: Bacterial small subunit ribosomal RNA
Source: RNAcentral
GAUGAACGCUAGCUACAGGCUUAACACAUGCAAGUCGAACGGAGAUGGGAAAGCUUGCUUUUCCAUUUUAGUGGCGGACGGGUGAGUAACACGUGAGCAACCUGCCUUUCAGAGGGGAUAACGGCUGGAAACGGUCGCUAAUACCGCAUAAUAUGUAUUUAAGGCAUCUUAGAUACAUCAAAGAUUUUAUCGCUGAAAGAUGGGCUCGCGUCUGAUUAGAUAGUUGGUGAGGUAACGGCUCACCAAGUCGACGAUCAGUAGCCGGACUGAGAGGUUGAACGGCCACAUUGGGACUGAGACACGGCCCAG